RNAcentral lists this long non-coding RNA (2786 nucleotides) under Marmota monax (woodchuck). The record is from RNAcentral. Lineage: Eukaryota; Metazoa; Chordata; Mammalia; Rodentia; Sciuridae.
UUUUUUGUUGUUUGUUUGCAGUUUAUCAAAUUCGCAAAGCUUGGGCUGGUAUGGCACCAUGACUGGGUGUGGCAGCAACACUUACACAGUCACUCCCCACCUGAAUGGACCUGUGACAGAUACGGCUCCUUUGCUUUUUACUUGUAGUAAUUUAGAUAUGAGUAAUCACCAUAGCUUAUAUGUAACACCACAAAACUGAUAGCAUUACCAAGUUGUGAUUCUUGAAUUGUUUUUCAUGAAUAUGUAUAUUUGACGUGUUUAAAUUCCAUCUACAUGAACAUUCCAUUAUCUGUUGCAACUGAAAACAAAAUCUGGAAACCUGGCUGUGUUUGGUGGAGAACACAAGCUGUUACUUUUGACCUCUGCUUAGUAAAAUUAAGUAAAAUGGAAAGUUUGGAGUAGGAGAAAAGAUAAAUUAGAUUUUUAAGGCCUCCAAACAUCCUGAUUUUGGAACACCAACUGCAUAUUAGCAUAUUUGCACUUUUAUCUCUGUUCUGAAAGAGUACACUGCAGUCCCCAAUGUCAUACUCCAGUGUUCACACUGGAAUAUUAUGUACACCAAAUUGGAAGGCACGUUUUCUACGAAAAUCAAAGCCUAUAUAUUUUGUGGUGUACUCUGUGGAAUCUUUACCCGAUUACAAUUUUAUGGUGUGAACAGUGCACAGUUUAGGCAUAAAAAUGCAUCAUUCAUUUUAAAAUCCACUAAAUAUAUGUAAUCAUUGAAGACAGUUCUUUUAAGCAUGAACUUAAAAUACCAAUUGAGAUUAUUCAAACAAUCAUUUUAAACAACUAAUAGUAUAAUCCUUUACAGUAAUGACCAGCAAUGUUGUUUGGAAAGCCACAGUAAUUUCUUCAAGAAGAAAAUAUACCAGUGAAAAUUGUGUGGCUAUUUUGAGUAGAAUUGGUCGAGUGAUUAUUUUGUACAAUUAAGAUAUAUAUGUAGUAGUUUAAGCAUGAUUCUUCAAGAAAGCAAUAGUGAUUUUUGCAUAGGGAGAUUUUGGUAGAAACUUCUUGGGACUAAACAAGUUUACAGAUGCAUUUAAGAAUUGUUCAUAAAAUAUGCAUUCUAAAACAAAUGUUUUCAAAAGCAUCUGAUCUAAAACAAAAUAGCUGAUCUUACCUAUUGAAUCAGGAUUGUCCUCAGGUAAAUUCAAUCAUGAUACAUUAUUGCAGUGAACUUAAGUGCAAUACUUUGUAAGACAUAUAAUUCCUUCUUUAGUUUUUACAUUUUUAUACAUUGUAUAUGGUUUAAAAACUAAAUUGAAUUCAAAUUAAUUUCAGUACUAUACUAAAUGAGCAAACUUAACAUAAAAGUAUGAAUUAAGUAUGUAUAAAACCAGAGGUUAACAAUAUUUGAAUAUUUUAGAAUUACAUUAAAACUGUAUUGAAUGACCAACCCCAAGUCUAAAAAAUAUUACAUAUGGUAGGCUAAGACAAUACAGAAUUUUAAAAUGCACUUUCUACCAGUGUCUAUAUGGAAAGUAGAUGCUGAAUACCUCAAGAAGCCAAGGGAACAGACAACAGGGAAGUUGUUACAACAUGCUUAAAGAUGAUCAUAUACAAUUGUCUUCUGAUCUUUUUCUUGGAAUUGGAACUAAUACAACUGUCCUUUUUCUUCUUCUUUGAUUAGAACAUUGUUUUAUUUCUACUCCUAUUUAAAAUAUCUUUCAGCUUUUUAAUAACUGAUAUAGUGACUUCACAAAAGUUUAACAGUAGGUAAAACUCUUAAGGAAAAAUUAAAUUGUUAAUACUUUUUAUCUUUUGGGAGACUAGUACAAAGCCAAACAAAUUUCCUCUUUUUAUGAUACAAAGGACUUUAAAUUCAGUAGGUGUGCUGCCAAAUCAAGCAUGAAAGGACUUUAAAUUCAACUGGAUGCAUACUAAUAAAUGUUACUUGGUAUUUGUUUAUAAAUUCUCUUAUACUCAAAUUAUUUAAAAUUUUAUAGUAAAAAAGUUAACCUUGGUAUUAAGAUGACAACAAAAUAGUAUAUUUUUACCACAUCCUCAGUUCCUAGAUUUCAGAAUGUCAACUAUUUAUUUUGCUGAUCUAAAUAUCUACAGCUAUCUGAAAAGAUCUGUGUUGUCUUUGUUAAGCCUCAAGUUCAAGGUGAUAAAAUAAUUUUUUUCCUAUAUCAAAGUUCCUAUUUGACCAGGUAAACAAUGAUUAGUUUAAUUUUUUCUCAAAUAAAAUAUAUUUGGUUCUUUUAGCUGCAUUAGUUGAUUAUAUCAAAUUUGAAAUUUAUAAGUUUAUCCUGUUAUCACAGACUAGGAUACCUAAAUUCUUGCAUUUGUCUCCUGAUACACAUCUCCUACAAUAUAUCACCAAAGACGAAGAAAGAUCUGGCCCAAUUUUUGCUUAAAAAUUCCAAAGCACUAGGAGCACUUUAAGUUUGGUCUCGAAAGAAGGAGUUGUUUAUAAAAUCAAAGGGCUACCGAUUCCCUGUUCAUCUUGCACUGAAGCACAUAAUGACAAUUUCAAACCUUUCUUUUGUAUUCAUUAAUUAGAAAAGUGAAUUUCAUUGCUUAAAUAUGUAAUUCUACAGUGACUAGCAAUAUUUGUUAUCAUUUCAUUUGGAUGGUCAUUAAUUUUGAAUCUCUUCACACUCAUUGUAGCUGGUUGUAGUUUUAUGGAAGAUGUAAUUUAUAGCUAAAGUGGCUUUUUUAUGCAUAGCUGCCUUUUUUAUUGUUUAACAGUGUUUCUCAGCUAUAUAAUCAGUUUCAAACUGGUUAUAAAAAUAUAGCUGUGGCCAAUGAAUGUAUUGAUUUGUCAUUUCACUAAAUUGUAA